UACGUAGGGUGCAAGCGUUAAUCGGAAUUACUGGGCGUAAAGCGUGCGCAGGCGGUUGUGCAAGACAGAUGUGAAAUCCCCGGGCUCAACCUGGGAAUUGCAUUUGUGACUGCACGGCUAGAGUGUGUCAGAGGGGGGGUAGAAUUCCACGUGUAGCAAGUGAAAAUGCGUAGAGAUGUGGAGGAAUACCGAUGGCGAAGGCAGCCCCCCUGGGAUAACACUGACGCUCAUGCACGAAAGCGUGGGUAGCAAACAGG
RNAcentral lists this ribosomal RNA (257 nucleotides) under uncultured bacterium. Its description in RNAcentral is "partial 16S ribosomal RNA". It matches the Rfam family "Bacterial small subunit ribosomal RNA", at positions 524 to 776 of the family's 1533-position model. The record is from RNAcentral.